GGCGGCGUGGCCGAGCGGUUAGGCAGGGGCCUGCAAAGCCCCGUACUCCGGUUCGAAUCCGGACGCCGCCUCCA
RNAcentral lists this transfer RNA (74 nucleotides) under Acidobacteriota bacterium. RNAcentral describes it as "Acidobacteria bacterium (mine drainage metagenome) tRNA-Cys". It matches the Rfam family "tRNA". Rfam says of the family: Transfer RNA (tRNA) molecules are approximately 80 nucleotides in length. Their secondary structure includes four short double-helical elements and three loops (D, anti-codon, and T loops). The record is from RNAcentral. RNAcentral also lists the same sequence under 3 other names. Lineage: Bacteria; Pseudomonadati; Acidobacteriota.